AUUGACAGGCUGCUCAGAGAGUAGGAAAUGUAGGUGUUCUGGGAUCAAAACAGGCAGUCUUUAAUUGUUAAAACAUCCUUAUUACCCAACACGGUGGCGUAGUCCUGAAUUAGACAGCAUGGCACAAAAUUGUUUGAUUGCAAGCAUGCCUAAUGUGAUCUACGGGGGGCUUCAAAAGCCCCUGCCAGCUUCAAGGUAGCCCCUGAAUCACCAGGAUUUUCUUGAUCUGCUCACUGCACCAGUCAGACAAGCCAGGCCCCACCAUUAGGAAGUCUCAUGCAGCGGAGAGAUGAGUUGUUCUUCCCUUUCCCAUUCCCUUUGCCAGUGAUUUCCCUCCCUCUCUUGUUCUUCUCUCUACCUACUCUGCAACUGCAGAGCCUUGGAGGUAUAACCACAUACCCUGACACUUUUUCUGGCUGUCCUAUUUAUUUGUAUUAGACCAGAUGUAUGGCCUUGGAGUGAAGGACACUAUUAGGUUGUGCCUGCAGACUCCCUCAUUUCCUAGACGUAUAGUGAGGAGCUGGCUGGUGAGACCCUGUAAUGCAGCUCCCACCACAGCAGAACAGACUGGAAGGCUGCAGAAACCUGCAGACAACAGGAUACAAAGGGAGCACAAAAACCUCUUUCUG
This 629-nucleotide long non-coding RNA is filed under the name Cairina moschata (Muscovy duck). Its description in RNAcentral is "domestica (muscovy Duck (domestic type)) lncRNA (ENSCMMG00000000084.1)". Lineage: Eukaryota; Metazoa; Chordata; Aves; Anseriformes; Anatidae. The record is from RNAcentral.